GACGAACGCUGGCGGCGUGCUUAACACAUGCAAGUCGAACGGAAAGGCCUUUUCGGAGGUACUCGAGUGGCGAACGGGUGCGUAACACGUGGGUGAUCUGCCCUGCACUCUGGGAUACGCCUGGGUAACUGGGUCUAAUACCGGAUAGGACCGCACUUUAGUGUGUGUGGUGGUACGUUUUUUCGGUGUAGGAUGAGCCCGCGGCCUAUCAGCUUGUUGGUGGGGUGAUGGCCUACCAAGGCGGCGACGGGUAGCCGGCCUGCGAGGUUGGUCGGCGACACUGUGACUGAGAUAAGGGCCAGAAGCCGACAGGAAGCAGCAGUGAGGAAUAUUACACAGUGGGCGCAAAGCUGAUGGCGCGACGCCGCGUGGGGGAGGACGGACUUCCGGUUGUGAACUCCGUUCGCCAGGGACGAAGCGUUUUGUGACGGUACCUGGAGAAGAAGCACCGGCUAACUACGUG
RNAcentral lists this ribosomal RNA (463 nucleotides) under uncultured bacterium. RNAcentral's name for it is "partial 16S ribosomal RNA". It matches the Rfam family "Bacterial small subunit ribosomal RNA", at positions 28 to 507 of the family's 1533-position model. The record is from RNAcentral.